Molecule: ribosomal RNA, 454 nt
Filed under: uncultured bacterium
Lineage: Bacteria
Description: bacterial SSU rRNA
Rfam family: Bacterial small subunit ribosomal RNA
Source: RNAcentral
GAUGAACGCUAGCUACAGGCUUAACACAUGCAAGUCGAGGGGAAACGAUAGAGAAAGCUUGCUUUUUCUAGGCGUCGACCGGCGCACGGGUGAGUAACGCGUAUCCAACCUGCCCACCACUUGGGGAUAACCUUGCGAAAGUAAGACUAAUACCCAAUGACGUCUCUAGAAGGCAUCUGAAAGGGAUUAAAGAUUUAUCGGUGAUGGAUGGGGAUGCGUCUGAUUAGCUUGUUGGCGGGGUAACGGCCCACCAAGGCUACGAUCAGUAGGGGUUCUGAGAGGAAGGUCCCCCACAUUGGUACUGAGACACGGACCAAACUCCUACGGGAGGCAGCAGUGAGGAAUAUUGGUCAAUGGGCGCGAGCCUGAACCAGCCAAGUCGCGUGAGGGAAGACGGCCCUACGGGUUGUAAACCUCUUUUGCCGGGGAGCAACGCUGCGGUAAAGUAGUGACU